RNAcentral lists this ribosomal RNA (464 nucleotides) under uncultured bacterium. RNAcentral's name for it is "bacterial SSU rRNA". It matches the Rfam family "Bacterial small subunit ribosomal RNA", at positions 330 to 792 of the family's 1533-position model. The record is from RNAcentral.
UCCAGACUCCUACGGGAGGCAGCAGUGAGGAAUAUUGGUCAAUGGCCGAGAGGCUGAACCAGCCAAGUCGCGUGAGGGAUGACGGCCCUACGGGUUGUAAACCUCUUUUGUCGGGGAGCAAAGAGAGUCACGUGUGGCUCAUUGAGAGUACCCGAAGAAAAAGCAUCGGCUAACUCCGUGCCAGCAGCCGCGGUAAUACGGAGGAUGCGAGCGUUAUCCGGAUUUAUUGGGUUUAAAGGGUGCGUAGGCGGACGCUUAAGUCAGCGGUAAAAUUGCGGGGCUCAACCUCGUCGAGCCGUUGAAACUGGGUGCCUUGGGUGGGCGAGAAGUACGCGGAAUGCGUGGUGUAGCGGUGAAAUGCAUAGAUAUCACGCAGAACUCCGAUUGCGAAGGCAGCAUACCGGCGCCCAACUGACGCUGAAGCACGAAAGCGUGGGUAUCGAACAGGAUUAGAUACCCCAGUA